This 371-nucleotide ribosomal RNA is filed under the name uncultured Anaeromyxobacter sp. RNAcentral describes it as "bacterial SSU rRNA". It matches the Rfam family "Bacterial small subunit ribosomal RNA", at positions 92 to 447 of the family's 1533-position model. Lineage: Bacteria; Pseudomonadati; Myxococcota; Myxococcia; Myxococcales; Anaeromyxobacteraceae. The record is from RNAcentral.
ACAGCGGCGCACGGGUGCGUAACACGUGAGUAAUCUGCCCUGAAGCCCGGAAUAACCUCCCGAAAGGGAAGCUAAUACCGGAUAAGCCCACGGGGUCCCCGGACCCCGAGAGAAAAGGCGGCCUCUGUAUACAAGCUGUCACUUCAGGAUGAGCUCGCGGCCCAUCAGCUAGUUGGCGGGGUAAUGGCCCACCAAGGCUACGACGGGUAGCUGGUCUGAGAGGACGAUCAGCCACACUGGAACUGAGACGCGGUCCAGACUCCUACGGGAGGCAGCAGUGGGGAAUCUUGCGCAAUGGGCGAAAGCCUGACGCAGCAACGCCGCGUGUGUGAUGAAGGUCUUCGGAUCGUAAAGCACUGUCGCGAGGGACG